Molecule: ribosomal RNA, 253 nt
Filed under: uncultured bacterium
Lineage: Bacteria
Description: partial 16S ribosomal RNA
Rfam family: Bacterial small subunit ribosomal RNA
Source: RNAcentral
UACGUAGGUGGCAAGCGUUGUCCGGAUUUACUGGGCGUAAAGGGCGCGUAGGCGGCCCGCUAAGUCGAACGUGAAAUCCCCGAGCUCAACUCGGGAACUGCGCCCGAUACUGGCGGGCUUGAAUCCGGGAGAGGGAUGCGGAAUUCCAGGUGUAGCGGUGAAAUGCGUAGAUAUCUGGAGGAACACCGGUGGCGAAGGCGGCAUCCUGGACCGGCAUUGACGCUGAGGCGCGAAAGCUAGGGGAGCAAACAGG